Acanthosepion pharaonis is the source of this 113-nucleotide non-coding RNA. The record is from the annotation of a GenBank genome assembly. Lineage: Eukaryota; Metazoa; Mollusca; Cephalopoda; Sepiida; Sepiidae.
UUACGGCCAUAUUAUGUUGAAACAACGGUUCUCGUGCGAUUUCCGAAUUUAAGCAACGUCGAGUCUGGUCAGUACUUAGAUGGGUGACCGCUUGGGAAUAGCACGUGUUGUAA